This 495-nucleotide ribosomal RNA is filed under the name uncultured bacterium. Its description in RNAcentral is "bacterial SSU rRNA". It matches the Rfam family "Bacterial small subunit ribosomal RNA", at positions 28 to 476 of the family's 1533-position model. The record is from RNAcentral.
GACGAACGCUGGCGGCGUGCCUAAUACAUGCAAGUCGAACGCAUUGUGGUUGAAAUGAUAUGAAGAACUUGUUCAGAUUUGAUUUUCAACAUUGCAAUGAGUGGCGAACGGGUGAGUAACACGUGGGAAACCUACCUCUUAGCAGGGGAUAACAUUUGGAAACAAAUGCUAAUACCGUAUAAUAAUUAAAACCGCAUGGUUUUAGUUUAAAAGAUGGUCUUGCUAUCACUAAGAGAUGGUCCCGCGGUGUAUUAGUUAGUUGGUGAGGUAAUGGCUCACCAAGACAAUGAUACAUAGCCGAGUUGAGAGACUGACCGGCCACAAUGGGAGUGAGACACGGCCCAUACUCCUACGGGAGGCAGCAGUAGGGAAUCUUCCACAAUGGACGAAAGUCUGAUGGAGCAACGCCGCGUGUGUGAUGAAGGGUUUCGGCUCGGUAAAACACUGUUGUAAGAGAAGAAUGACAUUGAGAGUAACUGUUCAAUGUGUGACGGU